Molecule: transfer RNA, 26 nt
Filed under: Pariana campestris
Lineage: Eukaryota; Viridiplantae; Streptophyta; Magnoliopsida; Poales; Poaceae
Also listed under: 3 other names
Description: partial tRNA-Leu
Source: RNAcentral
GCCGCCAUGGUGAAAUUGGUAGACAC